RNAcentral lists this long non-coding RNA (241 nucleotides) under Lathyrus oleraceus (garden pea). RNAcentral describes it as "Pisum sativum (pea) long non-coding RNA (PSAT_LNC023358)". Lineage: Eukaryota; Viridiplantae; Streptophyta; Magnoliopsida; Fabales; Fabaceae. The record is from RNAcentral.
GUCAUUGGGCAUCCCUAAUCACUAAGUGGCUGGCCCUAACUCUCAUUCCAUUCUCCAUGUCCAUUUUCUCCUUGAUCUAACCAUGUGAGUUUGAUUUCUUCAUUGUUGAUGCUUGGCCAUACCUUGAACCCUUGGAGUUUGCUUUGUCCAUUAACUUCCAUCUUGCUGCAAUGCCUAACUUGCACAAACCAAAUCAUGACCAACAUAAAAGCCAAGCCAUGAAUAUUGCACAUGAACCUGA